UAUACGAGCCAGGGGUGCAAAAUUGCUGAGAAGGGCAUAAGCCUGAUCCCUUAUCAUCUGAACUGGGUAAUGCCAGCGUAGAGAGAGCAAAUUUAAAAUUGU
Molecule: non-coding RNA, 102 nt
Filed under: Thomasclavelia ramosa DSM 1402
Lineage: Bacteria; Bacillati; Bacillota; Erysipelotrichia; Erysipelotrichales; Coprobacillaceae
Also listed under: 1 other name
Description: Clostridium ramosum DSM 1402 TPP riboswitch aptamer (THI element)
Rfam family: TPP riboswitch aptamer (THI element)
About the family: Vitamin B(1) in its active form thiamin pyrophosphate (TPP) is an essential coenzyme that is synthesised by coupling of pyrimidine and thiazole moieties in bacteria. The previously detected thiamin-regulatory element, thi box was extended, resulting in a new, highly conserved RNA secondary structure, the THI element, which is widely distributed in eubacteria and also occurs in some archaea. Analysis of operon structures identified a large number of new candidate thiamin-regulated genes, mostly transporters, in various prokaryotic organisms.
Source: Rfam by way of RNAcentral